RNAcentral lists this ribosomal RNA (322 nucleotides) under uncultured Bacillota bacterium. RNAcentral's name for it is "bacterial SSU rRNA". It matches the Rfam family "Bacterial small subunit ribosomal RNA", at positions 28 to 351 of the family's 1533-position model. Lineage: Bacteria; Bacillati; Bacillota. The record is from RNAcentral.
GACGAACGCUGGCGGCGUGCCUAACACAUGCAAGUCGAGCGGAGAUCAUAGCAAUGUGAUCUUAGCGGCGGACGGGUGAGUAACGCGUGGGCAACCUACCUCAAACUGGGGGAUAACACAGGGAAACUUGUGCUAAUACCGCAUAACAUCAUGAGAUGACAUCGUCUUAUGAUCAAAGGAGAAAUCCGGUGAGAGAUGGGCCCGCGUCCAAUUAGCUAGUUGGUGAGGUAACGGCCCACCAAGGCGACGAUUGGUAGCCGAACUGAGAGGUUGAUCGGCCACAUUGGGACUGAGACACGGCCCAGACUCCUACGGGAGGCAG